GUGAGAAUCCCGUACGUGGUCGCCUGCCUUCGCCGUGUAAAGCCCCUUCGACGAGUCGAGUUGUUUGGGAAUGCAGCUCUAAAUGGGAGGUAAAUUUCUUCUAAAGCUAAAUACUGGCCAGAGACCGAUAGCGCACAAGUAGAGUGAUCGAAAGAUGAAAAGCACUUUGGAAAGAGAGUCAAACAGCACGUGAAAUUGUUGAAAGGGAAGCGCUUGCAGCCAGACUUGCCCGCAGUUGCUCAUCGGAACUUUUGCUCCGAGCACUCUUCUGCGGGCAGGCCAGCAUCAGUUUGGGCGACCGGAUAAAGGCCUCUGUCAUGUAUCUUCCUUCGGGAUGACCUUAUAGGGGAGGCGUAAUGCGGCCAGCCCGGAGUGAGGUCCGCGCAUCUGCUAGGAUGCUGGCGUAAUGGCUGUAAGCGGCCCGUCUUGAAACACGGACCAAGGAGUCUAACAUCUAUGCGAGUGUUUGGGUGUCAAGCCCGGGCGCGUAAUGAAAGUGAACGGAGGUGGGAACCCUCUCGCGGGGGUGCACCAUCGACCGAUCCUGAUGUCUUCGGAUGGAUUUGAGUAAGAGCAUAGCUGUUGGGACCCGAAAGAUGGUGAACUAUGCUUGAAUAGGGUGAAGCCAGAGGAAACUCUGGUGGAGGCUCGCAGCGGUUCUGACGUGCAAAUCGAUCGUCAAAUUUGGGCAUAGGGGCGAAAGACUAAUCGAACUAUCUAGUAGCUGGUUCCUGCCGAAGUUUCCCUCAGGAUAGCAGUAACGUAUUCAGUUUUAUGAGGUAAAGCGAAUGAU
This is a ribosomal RNA of 793 nucleotides. It matches the Rfam family "Eukaryotic large subunit ribosomal RNA", at positions 212 to 1021 of the family's 3401-position model.